RNAcentral lists this transfer RNA (77 nucleotides) under Salegentibacter salegens. Its description in RNAcentral is "tRNA-His". It matches the Rfam family "tRNA". Rfam says of the family: Transfer RNA (tRNA) molecules are approximately 80 nucleotides in length. Their secondary structure includes four short double-helical elements and three loops (D, anti-codon, and T loops). Further hydrogen bonds mediate the characteristic L-shaped molecular structure. tRNAs have two regions of fundamental functional importance: the anti-codon, which is responsible for specific mRNA codon recognition, and the 3' end, to which the tRNAs corresponding amino acid is attached (by aminoacyl-tRNA synthetases). tRNAs cope with the degeneracy of the genetic code in two manners: having more than one tRNA (with a specific anti-codon) for a particular amino acid; and 'wobble' base-pairing, i.e. permitting non-standard base-pairing at the 3rd anti-codon position. Lineage: Bacteria; Pseudomonadati; Bacteroidota; Flavobacteriia; Flavobacteriales; Flavobacteriaceae. The record is from RNAcentral.
GUGGUUGUAGCUCAGCUGGUUAGAGUGCCUGAUUGUGGUUCAGGAGGUCGCCGGUUCGAACCCGGUCUUCCACCCCU